CGGCCUUUGCUCUCACCGGGGUCGAGCCGCGGCGAGGGAACGGAUCGGAGACGCUGCGCCUGCUCAGAAGGUAGCGCAGCGGGGAAAGGCGGGAGAGCGUUAACUUCUGAGCCUGCGCGGUGGGAGUUGCUCAAGCAGGUGGUAGCGACUUGGCUUCCGGGCAGCGGGUAAAGGUACAGAGUAUGAUGACAGAGAGAGCCUACUGUAUGCCAGAUACUUAACAGAAGGAAAGUAGUUUAUAUGUAAACUCUGGGAAAAGUGGAGCCAAAUGAUUACACUGUGUGUACCCUUUAGCACUGUUUGGGGUGGGGACAUGGGGGGUCAGGGUGCAGAGAGGGACUGUUCUGGUCUCCUUGGAAGGUAUGUGCCUAUAGUAAAAAGCAUGAGUAAGAUAUCACAUCUCCUAACUCCGUAACAACCAAGCAAACUUAUAAUAGCAUUUUAACUUAUAUCACCUUUUUUAUAGGAGCGGAUAUAUAUUCCAGCAGCAUGAGUAUUUUAGCCCUCUUUGCAAUUGCAGUCUUCAUUCAUUAUCAUCAAUAAACUGGCCUCUGGUUGAUUGAUCUAGUCUAGUUCUUAUUUUAUCACAGCACAUGGGAUAUAUGAUAUCAUCAAAGCCAUGAUGUGAACAAACCAUGAGGUAUAAUGGAGUUUGUAUGAGUAAUUGUGCCUUUUAAUUAUAGUUUUAGUUUGCUUUCUUGACUUCCAUUCAUUCAGAUUGCACAUUAGGGGACAGAGAAGAGGGUGCUUCAAUAUAAACCUUUGGCUAUUUUACAAACACACUUUGCUAAAUGUUCUUAGUCUCUAUCCUGCAAAAGUCACCUUCUUGGAUCAGAAAUAUAUAAAAGCCUUAGUGCUGGUGGAAAACAGGCUUCUUCGUUGGAGGUCAGUCUCAACUAACUUCACACUCUGAUUCCUAAAAAAAAAUGGGAAGGUGGGUGUGUACACAUCCUUUAUGUUACAAAUUUCUUACUGGAAAGGUGACCUAAAUAUUAGACUUUCCCGAAAGAGUAUUGAGUCUCAUAAAAAUCUCUAAUGGAACAGCACUUAAGAAUUUCAACCGUGUGACCACUAAGAAUGGUGUAGAUCCAUUACCUCUCACAUAGGCACUCUCCACGAUAGACUAAGUGAUAAAACCAAGCUGCAGAAGAUUGUAUUACCUGGAGAGAUACCAAAUUGUUCAGUGGUGACCUCUGGGAAACAUGGUGGGGGAGGUUUUGAAGGCAACACUCACCUUAAUUUGGGGAUAUUGUUAAAAAAUUUUUUUUACUUACAUAGUCUUUUUAAAAUAAAGAACUUAGCCACAAAAUCAAAACAGCUGAUUGAUAUGAAGCACCAGUAUCUCCAUUAUUGAAAGGUUGCUUCAAGAAUGCUGAAUAGUUUGUUACAUUUUACAAAAAAAUGAAAGAGCACAGGAUGUUGUCUACCUGUUUUAAUUAUGGAAGGAUAAUUGUCAAUUUUUAAAUAGCAAGAUAGUUAUAAAGAAUGUUUUCCAAAGCAAUACCAAAGAGAUACUUUUCCCUUUUAGAAUAGAAAUUAUGGUACCAUGCAGCUUAUUUCCCCAUAUUGAUCAGGUGAGCAUUUGUCUUAAGGAGUAAGAGAGUUUGUCAGACCUGGUGUCCAUGGCUUGCCAGAGAGGCAGAUUGAACUAUCUCUUGGCAUUUCCAUAAAUAUACAAAAAUUAGCCGGGCAUGGUGGCGCACGCCUGAGCCCCAGCUACUCGGGAGGCUGAGGCAGGAGAAUCGCUUGAACCAGGGAGGCAGAGGUUGUGGUGAGCCGAGAUUGCGCCACUGCACUCCAGCCUGGGCAACAGAGUGAGACUCUGUCUCAAAAAAAAAAAAAAAAAAAAAAAAGAAUUAUUGGGGCCAGGCACGGUGGCUCACGCCUAUAAUCUCAGCACUCUGGGAGGCCACACAGGCAGACCACCUGAAGUCAGGAGUUCGAGACCAGCCUGGCCAACAUGGUGAAACCCUGUCUUUACUAAAAAUACAAAAAUUAGUUGGGUGUGGUAGCACACUCCUGGAGUCCCAGCUACUCGGAAGGCUGAGGCAGGAGGAUUUCUUGAACCCGGGAGGUGGAAACUGCAGUGAGUCGAGAUCAAGGCACUGCACUCCAGCCUGGGAGACAGAAUGAGACUCUGUCUCAAAAAAAGGAAAAAAAUCCUUUACUAAGUCACCGAAGUCUUAGAAAUUUGGGAAACUGAGGACAAAGUUCCUAAGGGUUCUGGAGAAGAAGGUACAGCCAUUUGGGGAACUAUUUGUCAAGGAGCAACUUCAUGUCUGGGACAAUAGGUAAUUCAGAAAACAGUCCCUAAGAGACACAAUAUCUGAAAUAAUAAAGGGGUGUGGUAUAUCACUCAGGAAGUUACGUGGUAAGCAGCCAGGAUGGUUGAAGGUCCUGAGUAGCUGAAACCAAUAGGGAAGACUUUAUGGAGGAGUUCAGAUUUGAGACAAGCCAGAUUUUAAGCAGGGAAGAAAACAUUCCAAGUAAA
This 2491-nucleotide long non-coding RNA is filed under the name Homo sapiens (human). RNAcentral's name for it is "HSALNT0290571". Lineage: Eukaryota; Metazoa; Chordata; Mammalia; Primates; Hominidae. The record is from RNAcentral.